GGGGGUGUGACGGAAUGGUAGACGUAACGGACUUAAAAUCCGUGGACUUUAAACGGUCGUAUGGGUUCAAGUCCCAUCACCCCCA
RNAcentral lists this transfer RNA (85 nucleotides) under Carteria sp. SAG 8-5. Its description in RNAcentral is "tRNA-Leu". It matches the Rfam family "tRNA". Rfam says of the family: Transfer RNA (tRNA) molecules are approximately 80 nucleotides in length. Their secondary structure includes four short double-helical elements and three loops (D, anti-codon, and T loops). The record is from RNAcentral. Lineage: Eukaryota; Viridiplantae; Chlorophyta; Chlorophyceae; Chlamydomonadales; Chlamydomonadaceae.